ACUGUCAGGGAGCUCAAUGCACU
RNAcentral lists this microRNA (23 nucleotides) under Oreochromis niloticus (Nile tilapia). Its description in RNAcentral is "oni-miR-10804". The record is from miRBase by way of RNAcentral. Lineage: Eukaryota; Metazoa; Chordata; Actinopteri; Cichliformes; Cichlidae.